GUUAAAGAAUCUUAAUAAGUUUUAAUAAAUUUUAAUAAAUUUUAAUGAAUCUUAAUAACUUUUAAUGAAAAGGGUCAAUUGAGAGAGAUUUUUAGUAAAAUAUUUUAGUAAUAUAUUUCCAUUAUCUUGGAUGUUUUGUUUUAGAAUGCGCUCCAAUCCAAAAGCAAUAGGUCUGUUUUUUAGCUGAACUUCUUGCACGAUUCAGCAGUCUUCUUUUUCUGUUCAUUGGAGAGAUAAAGAAAAAAAUUCAACUGUGCAACAAGUUCAAUUAAAAAUAAGAGAGCGUUCCCACCGAGCGCGUAACACGUCGCAUCGUUUUUCGCGUCCAAUCAAAACGUCUCAUUUUAUUAUGAUAAAAUAUAAUACAUGUUUUGAAUGAACGCGAAGGACGACGCGACGCAUGACGCGCUCGGUAGGAACGCUUCCUAACGGAUCUAGCACGCUGCCGCGGCACGCGCAGGCGCACGGCUGUAACAUUGGCGUGUCGCGUGCGUGCCACGUGCGACGAAUGCGACGAUCAGUGUUAACUGUGAACCGAGUGUAGUAAGACGUGCGUGUUUAUGAGCAGUGUAAGAAUAAAAAACAAACCUUGGACUUCGUUCUGGGCAGUCGACGUGAUCCGACUCCUCUCUCCUAAUAUACAUUAUUAUAAUUCAAUAUCGUUUAAUCAUCGAGUGAAGACAUAAUCGUCUACAAAUACUUGGCAUUCUUCGGCGCCCGUAUUUCUGAAUAAGUCAAAGAUUCCUCAUUAUCAGAAACUUGUGGGGUUAUUCCGGCACCUGGUAAAGAGAGAUAGGCGUUACAAUUUCGCCCGUCACGGUACAGCCAUAUUAGAGGAGUUUGCUGUGUGCUUAUUGCGUAGUUACUUGUAACAAUAUCGAAGAAAAUCCUAAUUGAAUCGCGCCCAUAUAACCUAAGAGGUGAGUUUUCCACGGUAACGUAGCUCAACAAGUUAUCUGUCCUUUAUUUUAAUAAUAUUAAUCUUCUUAUAUUCGGAUAUAUUGCGUAGUUACUUGUAUACCACGAGGAUCGCUAUUCAAUAAACUGUUGGCCUAUGAAAAGAUAUUAUUUUCAACAAUACCAAAGAAAAUUCCAAUUAAGUUGCCCAUAUAACCAAAGAGUUACUUGUAUACCACGAGGAUCGCUAUUCAAUAAACUGUUGGCCUAUGAAAAGAGAUUAUUUUCAACAAUACCAAAGAAAAUUCCAAUUGAGUUGCCCAUAUAACAAACUCGCCAAUUUCAAAGUUCCGAAGAAAUUGAAACUAUUGACAUUUGGUGUAAUCUUCCACUGAAAGAUGAAAGGAGUCUACAAGAAUUAGAAAUUAAGCUUAAGGAGAACGAAAAUUAUAGGAAAAAAAUGAUUAAAGAGUUUGCAAAUUUAGGAGGCCAAAAUGUGAAAACUUCAGCUUUAAAACUAAUGCGGAAAAUAUUUACAAACGAACUCGCCGUUCAAUAUAGCUGGGUCGGAGGCAAAAAGAAAAAUAUUUUUGUGGACUUAAUGAUAUGCAAAGUUAUACUUAGUGCGUUGAGAAAACAUUAUCAAAAUUCUACGGAGGAAGAACUGUCAGCUCCGAUAAAAAUUUGGCUCGCUCACGCCAAAGAGCGAUGUUCAAAAGCUACGCUUAACACGCAGAAUUAAUUUUGUUUUUCGCAAUUUUUUUGUUGCGCUGUUUCCAAAGUGUAUACUCCCGAGAAAACUGUAUUCUCAGGGAAUUUUAUUAUUUUAUAUAAGUUAUAUAAAAUAAUAAAAUUUCUCCUAUAUUUUAUAU
This 1769-nucleotide long non-coding RNA is filed under the name Monomorium pharaonis (pharaoh ant). RNAcentral's name for it is "uncharacterized LOC118647101, transcript variant X3". Lineage: Eukaryota; Metazoa; Arthropoda; Insecta; Hymenoptera; Formicidae. The record is from RNAcentral.